RNAcentral lists this transfer RNA (76 nucleotides) under Erysipelotrichaceae bacterium. RNAcentral describes it as "tRNA-Glu". It matches the Rfam family "tRNA". Rfam says of the family: Transfer RNA (tRNA) molecules are approximately 80 nucleotides in length. Their secondary structure includes four short double-helical elements and three loops (D, anti-codon, and T loops). Lineage: Bacteria; Bacillati; Bacillota; Erysipelotrichia; Erysipelotrichales; Erysipelotrichaceae. The record is from RNAcentral.
GGUGCCAUCUUCUAACGGUCAGGAAACGGGGCUUUCAACUCCGCAAUGCGCGGUUCGAUUCCGGCUGGCAUCACCA